AACCAAGUGAAGGCAACAAGUCUUGACAGUGCUGUUGGGAUCGUCACACUCUCACACUUGGUUCCCGGAUAAGAGCUUUAGCUGACUUUGACUUCGUAACAUCGCGAGGCCGUUUGACCAAAGUUUUAUGCACACCUUACGAAGG
Hippocampus comes (tiger tail seahorse) is the source of this 145-nucleotide long non-coding RNA. RefSeq lists it as uncharacterized. The record is from RefSeq and is a predicted model, not a curated record. The transcript is spliced from 2 exons. Lineage: Eukaryota; Metazoa; Chordata; Actinopteri; Syngnathiformes; Syngnathidae.